Molecule: transfer RNA, 72 nt
Filed under: Streptomyces mutabilis
Lineage: Bacteria; Bacillati; Actinomycetota; Actinomycetes; Kitasatosporales; Streptomycetaceae
Source: RNAcentral
GGCGGCCGCGCUCAUCGCGACCGCUCCCUCAGCGGCCUUCAUCAUCUGGCAGGACCCCUCCCGCCCCGCCAA